GAACGCACAUUGCGCCCUCUGGUAUUCCGGAGGGCAUGCCUGUCCGAGCGUCAUUGCUGCCCUCCAGCCCGGCUGGUGUGUUGGGCCCCGCCCCCCUUCCCGGGGGGGCGGGCCCGAAAGGCAGCGGCGGCACCGCGUCCGGUCCUCGAGCGUAUGGGGCUUUGUCACCCGCUCUUGCAGGCCCGGCCGGCGCCAGCCGACCCCCUCAAUCUAUUUUUUCAGGUUGACCUCGGAUCAGGUAGGGAUACCCGCUGAACUUAAG
Molecule: unclassified non-coding RNA, 262 nt
Filed under: Penicillium christenseniae
Lineage: Eukaryota; Fungi; Ascomycota; Eurotiomycetes; Eurotiales; Aspergillaceae
Description: sequence contains 5.8S rRNA gene
Rfam family: 5.8S ribosomal RNA (bases 1-53)
Source: RNAcentral